Molecule: ribosomal RNA, 439 nt
Filed under: uncultured bacterium
Lineage: Bacteria
Description: partial 16S ribosomal RNA
Rfam family: Bacterial small subunit ribosomal RNA
Source: RNAcentral
CUACGGGCCGCUGCAGUGGGGAAUCUUGGACAAUGGGCGCAAGCCUGAUCCAGCCAUGCCGCGUGAGUGAAGAAGGCCUUAGGGUCGUAAGGCUCUUUCGCCAGAGAUGAUAAUGACAGUAUCUGGUAAAGAAACCCCGGCUAGCUCCGUGCCAGCAGCCGCGGUAAUACGGAGGGGGUUAGCGUUGUUCGGAAUUACUGGGCGUAAAGCGCGCGUAGGCGGAUUAGUCAGUCAGAGGUGAAAUCCCAGGGCUCAACCCUGGAACUGCCUUUGAUACUGCUAGUCUUGAGUUCGAGAGAGGUGAGUGGAAUUCCGAGUGUAGAGGUGAAAUUCGUAGAUAUUCGGAGGAACACCAGUGGCGAAGGCGGCUCACUGGCUCGAUACUGACGCUGAGGUGCGAAAGUGUGGGGAGCAAACAGGAUUAGAUACCCCCGUAGUC